GGGCGGUUAGCUCAGCCGGUCAGAGCGCCUGCCUUACAAGCAGGAGGUCGCCUGUUCGAAUCAGGCACCGCCCACCA
This 77-nucleotide transfer RNA is filed under the name Acidobacteriota bacterium. RNAcentral describes it as "tRNA-Val". It matches the Rfam family "tRNA". From Rfam's summary of the family: Transfer RNA (tRNA) molecules are approximately 80 nucleotides in length. Their secondary structure includes four short double-helical elements and three loops (D, anti-codon, and T loops). Further hydrogen bonds mediate the characteristic L-shaped molecular structure. tRNAs have two regions of fundamental functional importance: the anti-codon, which is responsible for specific mRNA codon recognition, and the 3' end, to which the tRNAs corresponding amino acid is attached (by aminoacyl-tRNA synthetases). tRNAs cope with the degeneracy of the genetic code in two manners: having more than one tRNA (with a specific anti-codon) for a particular amino acid; and 'wobble' base-pairing, i.e. permitting non-standard base-pairing at the 3rd anti-codon position. Lineage: Bacteria; Pseudomonadati; Acidobacteriota. The record is from RNAcentral. RNAcentral also lists the same sequence under 2 other names.